Small nuclear RNA from Solanum stenotomum, 161 nucleotides. RefSeq annotates it as U1 spliceosomal RNA. The record is from RefSeq and is a predicted model, not a curated record. The transcript has a single exon. Lineage: Eukaryota; Viridiplantae; Streptophyta; Magnoliopsida; Solanales; Solanaceae.
GCACUUACUUGAACGAAGUCAAUGGGUAAUCAAUAAGGCUAGUGGCUUAGGUUGGUAACUUCCAUUGCAAUUUGGAGGGGUGUCCGCCUAAAGGCGAUCCAAGUUGUUGAACUUAUGACAUAAUUUGUGACAGUGCAAUCCUUCAUUGGCGUGGCCCUACC